GGACAGAGGACGAUAAGUCUGAAGAGGCGGGUCUAUACAUGCAAGUCGAACGCUUUUUCUUUCACCGGAGCUUGCUCCACCGAAAGAAAAAGAGUGGCAAACGGGUGAGUAACACAUGGGUAACCUGCCCAUCAGAAGGGGAUAACACUUGGAAACAGGUGCUAAUACCGUAUAACACUAUUUUCCGCAUGGAAGAAAGUUGAAAGGCGCUUUUGCCUCACUGAUGGAUGGACCCGCGGGGCAUUAACUAAUUGGUGAGGUAACGGCUCACCAAGGCAACAAUGAAUAGCCGACCUGAGAGGGUGAUCGGCCACACUGGGACUGAGACACGGCCCAGACUCCUACGGGAGGCAGCAGUAGGGAAUCUUCGGCAAUGGACGAAAGUCUGACCGAGCAACGCCGCGUGAGUGAAGAAGGUUUUCGGAUCGUAAAACUCUGUUGUUAGAGAAGAACAAGGAUGAGAGUAAAAUGUUCAUCCCUUGACGGUAUCUAACCAGAAAGCCACGGCUAACUACGUGCCAGCAGCCGCGGUAAUACGUAGGUGGCAAGCGUUGUCCGGAUUUAUUGGGCGUAAAGCGAGCGCAGGCGGUUUCUUAAGUCUGAUGUGAAAGCCCCCGGCUCAACCGGGGAGGGUCAUUGGAAACUGGGAGACUUGAGUGCAGAAGAGGAGAGUGGAAUUCCAUGUGUAGCGGUGAAAUGCGUAGAUAUAUGGAGGAACACCAGUGGCGAAGGCGGCUCUCUGGUCUGUAACUGACGCUGAGGCUCGAAAGCGUGGGGAGCGAACAGGAUUAGAUACCCUGGUAGUCCACGCCGUAAACGAUGAGUGCUAAGUGUUGGAGGGUUUCCGCCCUUCAGUGCUGCAGCAAACGCAUUAAGCACUCCGCCUGGGGAGUACGACCGCAAGGUUGAAACUCAAAGGAAUUGACGGGGGCCCGCACAAGCGGUGAGCAUGUGGUUUAAUUCGAAGCAACGCGAGAACCUUACCAGGUCUUGACAUCCUUUGACACUCUAGAGAUAGAGCUUCCCUUCGGGGCAAGUGACAGGUGGUGCAUGUUGUCGUCAGCUCGUGUCGUGAGAUGUGGAAGUCCGCCACGAGCGCAACCUUAUUGUAGGGCCAUCAUUAAGUGGGACAUCUAGCGAAAACUGGCGGUGACGGAAAGUGGGGAUGAA
RNAcentral lists this ribosomal RNA (1170 nucleotides) under Enterococcus casseliflavus. RNAcentral describes it as "bacterial SSU rRNA". It matches the Rfam family "Bacterial small subunit ribosomal RNA", at positions 20 to 1183 of the family's 1533-position model. The record is from RNAcentral. Lineage: Bacteria; Bacillati; Bacillota; Bacilli; Lactobacillales; Enterococcaceae.